This 3483-nucleotide long non-coding RNA is filed under the name Macaca fascicularis (crab-eating macaque). RNAcentral describes it as "lncRNA (ENSMFAG00000064917.1)". Lineage: Eukaryota; Metazoa; Chordata; Mammalia; Primates; Cercopithecidae. The record is from RNAcentral.
AACAUGAAUGCCCCUGAAUAUUAAUGACCAAAAAAAAAAAAAAAAGCACUGGUGAAUUUUUAAAUUAAAUUACUACAUAUAUAUGUACAUAUAUAGGGGUUUGGAGGAGAACAGAAGGUCUAACUCGGGAGUUGGACUUGGUGGGGGCGGGCACAGGUUAAAUGUGAGCUGUGAACACCCAGUUUGGGAGGAAGGAGGAAAUGGGAACCAACUGCCAGUCAAGCAGUUGCAGUCUAAGAACAAAUUAGGGCAGGCCUCAGCAUCUCUUUCAGAUUACAUAGAAAAUCUGAAAUAAGAAUAGCUGUGAACUUUUAUUAAUAUACAACAUUCAUUAGUUUAUAUGCAGUCCUCACCACAGCCCUCCGAGAUAAGUAUACUUAUUGUUCCCAUUUUGCAGAUGAGGAAAGCUGAGGCAGAAAGAAAUUAAAUUGCUUAAGGUUACACACAUAGUAGGUAUCACACAUUUAGUCAGAGGCAGAGCUGGGAUUCAAACUCAGGUCUGGCUCCUAGCCUCUGCUCUUAACCACAACACCAUAUACUCCCACCCCUGGGCCCAGCUCAUGUGCUUGGCAGAGUAUUAGAGCCUUUCAAGGUAAGUGUGAUUAUCCGCUUUACAAAUGAGCUUCGGAAAAGUUAAGCAAAGAUUACACAGCUAGACAGUAAUUCAAUAGUAGUCUCUUACCUAUUUUUCCUUUUAUGUUUUCAUUUGUAAAUCUGUUUUAAUUUGAUUUGAACUAAAAAAUAGUACUUGAUUGUGAAAUAUUCUGGGACCACUUUUCUCCAACUCUUCAACCUUUCAACAAUUAUAUGAUUGUUUUCCCAUUUUAUAAGUAAGGCAACUGAGGACUAUUCGGAUAUUUCAUUCACUCCAUUUGUUUACUAAGCCCUGCCGUGUGCUGGAUACACAAUCUGCUGUGUGCUGGAUACAUAUGAUACAAAGGAAUGACUAUCUGGCAUCUUGAAGGUACCCAGAAUAUUGGACUUAACUGACCUGAAGGUGCCAAGCUGGAAUAUUCUUCAUAUUCCCUGUCUGCCUAUUACCAAGUUAUAUUGUUUAGUUUGAGGAAAAAAACAAAAAAAACCCUCCCUUAGAGAAUCACGAUGCAUAUUAGCAUAUUUAAGGACUACUAAAACUUAGACUUAAUCUAGCCUGCCCUAGACAUAUUAACAUCCGGUAGCACAAGUGUUCUGUGAGAUAUAUUUCAGAAAAAUACAGAAUAAACGCAGACUCCUUUGGAUGGCAUUCAGGCCCUUCAUAAACUAACUCUGAAUUAUUUUUCAGUCUCAUUUCCUGCAAUUGCACCCGAUUUUUUCUGUUCUGCAAUCUGCUAUUUUAGACAAGGCUUUCAUAAGAAAUUACAUAAUGACAAGUAAUUCCCACAUUCCCUAGAUAUAUACUUGGAUUUCAAAUGCCAUAAUUGUAAUCUUUCUCCAAAGAAAAAUGCACGAUACAGGCUUCAUUCCAUCAAGAGGCAUAUGAGGUAAGUGUUAUUAUACACGCGUCCAGCAUAUGGGAAAACCACGAAAGUGGAAGGGAAUCAGAGAAGCAUUAACAGACCCUCAAACAACCAUAAUGCUUAACUCCUCUUGUUCCAAUCUUGACUCAAAAUUAUGAUUAUUUUGAUGAUUUGAUGAUUGUUUUGACAGUAUAAACUCCAUAUCUGCAACCUCAGUUAUCUACAAAACUGAAGUACAAACAUUGAAAAAGAACUCUCACCAACCAAGGAUUGAAAUUGUAAUGCAAAUAGAAAGGGCUCAGCUUGAGAGCACAAUCAGAAACUGGAGUUGAUCAAAGAGAAAAUUCUAGCUGAAUUGUCCUAUUUUUAAUUCCCCAGGGAUCCCACUGUCUAUGACACAUUAACAGCGGUGUGAAUCGUUUCUGUUACAUCACAUACUCUGUCCUCUUGUGAUGUGGGUCUUCCCCAAUUGAGUAUAUACAGAUAAUCAAUGACUUUAUCUGGGAGGGAUUGGAGCUAUAGAAUAAUCUAUCUGACCAAUCUGAUGGACCAUUUGUAAGAGAUGAUUGCCAGAUUGGAUCUUCAUUUGACAAAUAAAUACUAGAGCUGCAGAAAGUAAAGUUUACUCCAACCCAAUUAAUCAGUAAUUCAUCCACAGGAAAAAUACAUUUUCUCCACAUGGAAUAUUGAUUUUUCUAUGAAUAUUACCUCCGCAUUGAAAAACGAGUGAGUCACUGCAGUUAAGCCAGUGUACUCUGACGUUGAAUUCCCUGAAGAAGGUACAGUUAUAUUUACAUUUCCUUAGCAAAAAUUUGGUUAAGUGAUAAGCAUUUUUCUCUUUUCUUUCUUUCUUCUUUUUUUUUUUUGAGACCAUGUGUCACCCAGGCUGGAGUACAGUAGUGCAAUCUCAGCUCACUGCAACCUCUGCCUCCCAGGUUCAAGCAAUUCUCGUGCCUCAGCCUCCCAAAUAGCUGGGAUUACAGGAACGUGCCACCACUCUUGGCUAAUUUUUAUAUUUUUUGUUAAGUAAAGACGAGCUUUCAACAUAUUGGCCAGACUGGUCUUGAACGCCUGACCUCUUAUGAGCGAAUCAUACCACUUAUAACUAGAUUUUCUAUUAAUGUAUAAGGAGGGACUCCACUACUAAAGUUUGUUUUACUUCUCUGGUUAUUUACACAGAACGCUGGCAAUACAUUAAGGCUCACUAAUGUGGACCUAAGUGGAAUUUCUGAGAGGCUUUGAAUAUGUAUGUGCAAACUGUCCUAUUUUCUUCAUAUGCUCUCUUAAAUAUGUAUGUAUGUAAAUAUAUAUAUGACACAUAUAUAUAUUCCUAGACAUCUAGGGUUUGCUGUCGUUAGUGACCAAGAAAAAGUAGUUCUUUUGUGCACGUGUGAAAACAUCAAAUUAGCAAUUACCAUAGAAAUGUAUUUCAUUGAAUAACUAGGUUUUGUUUGUCUGUUUCAGGGAAAUGUAAAACAAUUAUUAGAUGUUAUUGUGCCUCUUCUUGUGUUGAUAUGUGUAUUUGGGUCAAAAGUGCAAAAACUUUUUUCUACAAUAUACAGUUAUUUUGGCUUUUCCCAGGGGAAGCUAGCAAUAGUUUUAAAAGCACAAAUUGAUGUAAAAUAUUUUGACUCUUAAAAUAAUGUGAAGAAAUUUUAUUUGCAUUAACAAAAAUAUUCAGGAUCUUUUUGUAGUAAGUAUAUUUUAAAUGGUGUAAUUUGUAUGUUUAUGAUAUGUAUUCAAUUAUUUAAGUUAGGUAUCAAUGCAUUUUUUAAAAAAUGGGCUCCCAGGUGAACAAAACUUUGCUUUUCUUCUCCAUUCUGUACAGGACAAGCAUUAUUUAGUUCACACAGUCAGCUCUCACUACACUUCAACCAGACGGGGCAAGUUCGUAUUUGAAUUCUGUUAUCUUUAUCUAAGGGAAGCAAAAUUAACCAUUUAAUACUAGAUUAUCUUUAAUGGUUAUUAAAAUAAUGUUAUUGACCAAAAAUACAUAUUUGGAGAUUAAUAAAGAUGUAUUAGACUA